CCAAGUUACAUCUGGUGAGUUACACACUACACACCCUCUUCCCUCUCCUUUUAAUAAUCCUAUAUAGAUCAAUAACUUCUGGAACGAAUGGAGUGGGUUCCUAUAUAAAGAAGAGUCAGAGGAAGGUACGUGAAGGUGGUAUCGAUCACCAGUGUCAGAAUGAGGUUUGGGGCAAUUGCAUUCGUUUUGAUGCUAGCAUUCUGCUGUUGUACGGGUUCAGAUAGAUGGAGGAACAUAGAGG
Molecule: long non-coding RNA, 241 nt
Organism: Glycine soja
Lineage: Eukaryota; Viridiplantae; Streptophyta; Magnoliopsida; Fabales; Fabaceae
Exons: 2
Source: RefSeq, a predicted model, not a curated record